This 377-nucleotide ribosomal RNA is filed under the name uncultured bacterium. RNAcentral's name for it is "partial 16S ribosomal RNA". It matches the Rfam family "Bacterial small subunit ribosomal RNA", at positions 338 to 732 of the family's 1533-position model. The record is from RNAcentral.
CCUACGGGAGGCAGCAGUGGGGAAUAUUGCUCAAUGGGGGAAACCCUGAAGCAGCCACGCCGCGUGGGUGAUGAAGGACUUCGGGAUGUAAAACCCUUUUAGCAGGGAAGAAAAUGACGGUACCUGACUAACAAGCACCGGCUAACUACGUACCAGCAGCCGCGGUAAUACGCAGGGGGCAAGCGUUAUCCGGAGUUACUGGGCGUAAAGGGAGCGUAGUCGGCAUGCCAAGUCAGAUGGGAAAGGCGAGAGCUUAACCCUGGGACUGCAGUUGAAACUGGGAUGCUGGAGUGGGGGAGAGGUAGGCGGAAUUCGUGGUGUAGGGGUGAAAUGCGUAGAUAUCAGGAGGAACACCGAUUGCGAAGGCGGCUUGCUGG